Molecule: unclassified non-coding RNA, 253 nt
Filed under: uncultured Planctomycetia bacterium
Lineage: Bacteria; Pseudomonadati; Planctomycetota; Planctomycetia
Description: contains 16S-23S intergenic spacer region
Rfam family: Bacterial small subunit ribosomal RNA
Source: RNAcentral
GACGAACCGUGCGAACGUUGUUCGGAAUCACUGGGCUUAAAGGGCGCGUAGGCGGGCUGUCAAGUCUGCGGUGAAAUCCUCCGGCUCAACCGGAGAACGGCCGCGGAUACUGGCGGUCUCGAGGGGGGUAGGGGCGUGCGGAACUGUGCGUGGAGCGGUGAAAUGCGUUGAUAUGCACAGGAACUCCGGUGGCGAAGGCGGCACGCUGGACCUCAUCUGACGCUGAGGCGCGAAAGCUAGGGGAGCGAACGGG